This 270-nucleotide long non-coding RNA is filed under the name Capsicum annuum. RNAcentral describes it as "long non-coding RNA (CANN_LNC010203)". The record is from RNAcentral. Lineage: Eukaryota; Viridiplantae; Streptophyta; Magnoliopsida; Solanales; Solanaceae.
CCUCACAAAAGUAAGGUGUCAUAUUGUGUCCUGUGUUUAGAGUGCAAGUCAGGAUAGUGAUCAAGUGCUGCAACGUAAGGUAUGAUCUCUCCAUUACACUCUAUGAUAUUCUACACUAAUAACCAUGAAAGCAUGUGAAGGCUACAAUGUUGAAACAAUACUCUUUAAUUUUAAGUCAUUCUGUGGUGGUCAGAUCUGAGUUAAAAUCUGCCAAACUUUAUCAUGGGUGAUGCAAUACCCCCAAACUUUUUCUUAAGUUUACUUUUGUCU